Molecule: ribosomal RNA, 477 nt
Filed under: uncultured Acidovorax sp.
Lineage: Bacteria; Pseudomonadati; Pseudomonadota; Betaproteobacteria; Burkholderiales; Comamonadaceae
Description: bacterial SSU rRNA
Rfam family: Bacterial small subunit ribosomal RNA
Source: RNAcentral
CAAAGGAAUUGACGGGACCGCACAAGGCGGUGGAUGAUGUGGUUAAUUCGAUGCAACGCGAAAAACCUUACCACCUUUGACAUGUACGGAAUCCUUUAGAGAUAGAGGAGUGCUCGAAAGAGAGCCGUAACACAGGUGCUGCAUGGCUGUCGUCAGCUCGUGUCGUGAGAUGUUGGGUUAAGUCCCGCAACGAGCGCAACCCUUGUCAUUAGUUGCUACAUUCAGUUGGGCACUCUAAUGAGACUGCCGGUGACAAACCGGAGGAAGGUGGGGAUGACGUCAAGUCCUCAUGGCCCUUAUAGGUGGGGCUACACACGUCAUACAAUGGAUGGUACAAAGGGUCGCCAACCCGCGAGGGGGAGCCAAUCCCAUAAAGCCAUUCGUAGUCCGGAUCGCAGUCUGCAACUCGACUGCGUGAAGUCGGAAUCGCUAGUAAUCGCGGAUCAGCACGCCGCGGUGAAUACGUUCCCGGGCCUU